This 490-nucleotide ribosomal RNA is filed under the name uncultured bacterium. Its description in RNAcentral is "partial 16S ribosomal RNA". It matches the Rfam family "Bacterial small subunit ribosomal RNA", at positions 30 to 507 of the family's 1533-position model. The record is from RNAcentral.
AUUGAACGCUGGCGGCAGGCCUAACACAUGCAAGUCGAACGGUAACAGGGAUCAGCUUGCUGAUUCGCUGACGAGUGGCGGACGGGUGAGUAAUGUCUGGGAAACUGCCUGAUGGAGGGGGAUAACUACUGGAAACGGUAGCUAAUACCGCAUAACGUCGCAAGACCAAAGAGGGGGACCUUCGGGCCUCUUGCCAUCGGAUGUGCCCAGAUGGGAUUAGCUAGUAGGUGGGGUAACGGCUCACCUAGGCGACGAUCCCUAGCUGGUCUGAGAGGAUGACCAGCCACACUGGAACUGAGACACGGUCCAGACUCCUAAGGGAGGCAGCAGUGGGGAAUAUUGCACAAUGGGCGCAAGCCUGAUGCAGCCAUGCCGCGUGUAUGAAGAAGGCCUUCGGGUUGUAAAGUACUUUCAGCGGGGAGGAAGGGAGUAAAGUUAAUACCUUUGCUCAUUGACGUUACCCGCAGAAGAAGCACCGGCUAACUCCGUG